Molecule: ribosomal RNA, 434 nt
Filed under: uncultured bacterium
Lineage: Bacteria
Description: bacterial SSU rRNA
Rfam family: Bacterial small subunit ribosomal RNA
Source: RNAcentral
AACGAACGCUGGCGGCGCGCCUAAUACAUGCAAGUCGAGCGAGAAGACGUAGCAAUACGUUUGUAAAGCGGCGAACGGGUGAGGAAUACAUGGGUAACCUACCCUCGAGUGGGGAAUAACUAGCCGAAAGGUUAGCUAAUACCGCGUACGCUCCUUGGACUUCGGUUCAGGGAGGAAAGCGAUACCGUGGGUAUCGCGCUCUUGGAUGGGCUCAUGUCCUAUCAGCUUGUUGGGAGGUAACGGCUCACCAAGGCUUCGACGGGUAGCUGGUCUGAGAGGACGAUCAGCCACACUGGCACUGCGACACGGGCCAGACUCCUACGGGAGGCAGCAGUAAGGAAUAUUGCGCAAUGGGCGAAAGCCUGACGCAGCGACGCCGCGUGGGGGAUGAAGGUCUUCGGAUUGUAAACCCCUUUCGGGAGGGAAGAUGGAAU